This 567-nucleotide ribosomal RNA is filed under the name uncultured bacterium. Its description in RNAcentral is "bacterial SSU rRNA". It matches the Rfam family "Bacterial small subunit ribosomal RNA", at positions 772 to 1335 of the family's 1533-position model. The record is from RNAcentral.
ACCCAAUAGAUACCCGGGUAGUCCUAGCUGUAAACGAUGGGCACUUGGUGUUGGGGGUAUUGAGUCCCUCGGUGCCGGAGUUAAACACGUUAAAGUGCCCCGCCUGGGGAGUACGGUCGCAAGACUGAAACUCAAAGGAAUUGACGGGGGCCCGCACAAGCGGUGGAGCAUGUGGUUCAAUUCGACGCAACGCGAAGAACCUUACCGGGGCUUGAACUGUAAUUGCUACUCCUGGAAACAGGGGAUUCUCUUCGGAGACGGUUAUAGAGGUGCUGCAUGGCUGUCGUCAGCUCGUGUCGUGAGAUGUUGGGUUAAGUCCCGCAACGAGCGCAACCCUUACUCUUAGUUGCCAUCAGGUAAUGCUGGGAACCCUAAGAGAACUGUCGGCGAAAAGCCGGAGGAAGGUGGGGAUGACGUCAAGUCCUCAUGGCCCUUACGUCCCGGGCUACACACGUGCUACAAUGGCUGGUACAAAGGGUUGCCAACCCGCGAGGGGUAGCUAAUCCCAAAAACCGGGUCCCAGUUCGGAUUGCAGUCUGCAACUCGACUGCAUGAAGGUGGAAUCGC